RNAcentral lists this ribosomal RNA (386 nucleotides) under uncultured prokaryote. Its description in RNAcentral is "bacterial SSU rRNA". It matches the Rfam family "Archaeal small subunit ribosomal RNA", at positions 339 to 725 of the family's 1478-position model. The record is from RNAcentral.
GCGCGAAAACUUUACAAUGCUGGCAACAGCGAUAAGGGAACCUCGAGUGCCAGGUUACAAAUCUGGCUGUCGAGAUGCCUAAAAAGCAUUUCAUAGCAAGGGCCGGGCAAGACCGGUGCCAGCCGCCGCGGUAACACCGGCGGCUCGAGUGGUAACCGUUAUUAUUGGGUCUAAAGGGUCUGUAGCCGGCCGGAUAAGUCUCUUGAGAAAUCUGGCAGCUUAACUGUCAGGCUUUCAGGAGAUACUGUCUGGCUCGAGGCCGGGAGAGGUGAGAGGUACUUCAGGGGUAGGGGUGAAAUCUUGUAAUCCUUGAAGGACCACCAGUUGCGAAGGCGUCUCGCCAGAACGGAGCUGGCGGCAAGGGACGAAAGCUAGGGGCACGAACC